GACGAACGCUGGCGGCGUGCUUAACACAUGCAAGUCGAACGGAAAGGCCCUGCUUUUGUGGGGUGCUCGAGUGGCGAACGGGUGAGUAACACGUGAGUAACCUGCCCUUGACUUUGGGAUAACUUCAGGAAACUGGGGCUAAUACCGGAUAGGAGCUCCUGCUGCAUGGUGGGGGUUGGAAAGUUUCGGCGGUUGGGGAUGGACUCGCGGCUUAUCAGCUUGUUGGUGGGGUAGUGGCUUACCAAGGCUUUGACGGGUAGCCGGCCUGAGAGGGUGACCGGCCACAUUGGGACUGAGAUACGGCCCAGACUCCUACGGGAGGCAGCAGUGGGGAAUAUUGCACAAUGGGCGGAAGCCUGAUGCAGCAACGCCGCGUGCGGGAUGACGGCCUUCGGGUUGUAAACCGCUUUCGCCUGUGACGAAGCGUGAGUGACGGUAAUGGGUAAAGAAGCACCGGCUAACUACGUGCCAGCAGCCACGGUGAUACGUAGGGUGCGAGCGUUGUCCGGAUUUAUUGGGCGUAAAGGGCUCGUAGGUGGUUGAUCGCGUCGGAAGUGUAAUCUUGGGGCUUAACCCUGAGCGUGCUUUCGAUACGGGUUGACUUGAGGAAGGUAGGGGAGAAUGGAAUUCCUGGUGGAGCGGUGGAAUGCGCAGAUAUCAGGAGGAACACCAGUGGCGAAGGCGGUUCUCUGGGCCUUCCUGACGCUGAGGAGCGAAAGCGUGGGGAGCGAACAGGCUUAGAUACCCUGGUAGUCCACGCUGUAAACGGUGGGUACUAGGUGUGGGGUCCAUUCCACGGGUUCCGUGCCGUAGCUAACGCUUUAAGUACCCCGCCUGGGGAGUACGGCCGCAAGGCUAAAACUCAAAGGAAUUGACGGGGCCCCGCACAAGCGGCGGAGCAUGCGGAUUAAUUCGAUGCAACGCGUAGAACCUUACCUGGGUUUGACAUGGAUCGGGAGCGCUCAGAGAUGGGUGUGCCUCUUUUGGGGUCGGUUCACAGGUGGUGCAUGGCUGUCGUCAGCUCGUGUCGUGAGAUGUUGGGUUAAGUCCCGCAACGAGCGCAACCCUUGUUCACUGUUGCCAGCACGUUAUGGUGGGGACUCAGUGGAGACCGCCGGGGUCAACUCGGAGGAAGGUGGGGAUGACGUCAAGUCAUCAUGCCCCUUAUGUCCAGGGCUUCACGCAUGCUACAAUGGCUGGUACAGAGAGUGGCGAGCCUGUGAGGGUGAGCGAAUCUCGGAAAGCCGGUCUCAGUUCGGAUUGGGGUCUGCAACUCGACCUCAUGAAGUCGGAGUCGCUAGUAAUCGCAGAUCAGCAACGCUGCGGUGAAUACGUUCCCGGGGCU
Molecule: ribosomal RNA, 1345 nt
Filed under: uncultured bacterium
Lineage: Bacteria
Description: bacterial SSU rRNA
Rfam family: Bacterial small subunit ribosomal RNA
Source: RNAcentral